GGAAUGACUGUCUGACACGGAAUGCCAC
This 28-nucleotide non-coding RNA is filed under the name Bombyx mori (domestic silkworm). The record is from RNAcentral. Lineage: Eukaryota; Metazoa; Arthropoda; Insecta; Lepidoptera; Bombycidae.